CCCAGACUCCUACGGGAGGCAGCAGUGGGGGAUAUUGCACAAUGGGGGGAACCCUGAUGCAGCGACGCCGCGUGGGUGAAGGAGCGUUUCGGCGCGUAAAGCCCUAUCGGCAGGGAAGAAGGAGGACGGUACCUGACUAAGAAGCCCCGGCUAACUACGUGCCAGCAGCCGCGGUAAUACGUAGGGGGCAAGCGUUAUCCGGAUUUACUGGGUGUAAAGGGGGCGCAGACGGCAGCGCAAGCCAGGAGUGAAAGCCCGGGGCCCAACCCCGGGACUGCUCUUGGGACUGCGCGGCUGGAGUGCAGGAGGGGCAGGCGGAAUUCCUGGUGUAGCGGUGAAAUGCGUAGAUAUCAGGAGGAACACCGGUGGCGAAGGCGGCCCGCUGGACAGCAACUGACGGUGAGGCGCGAAAGCGUGGGGAGCAAACAGGAUUAGAUACCCUCGUA
RNAcentral lists this ribosomal RNA (446 nucleotides) under uncultured bacterium. RNAcentral's name for it is "partial 16S ribosomal RNA". It matches the Rfam family "Bacterial small subunit ribosomal RNA", at positions 330 to 792 of the family's 1533-position model. The record is from RNAcentral.